AUUGAACGCUGGCGGCAUGCCUUACACAUGCAAGUCGAACGGUAACGGGCCUUCGGGUGCCGACGAGUGGCGAACGGGUGAGUAAUGCAUCGGAACGUACCUUUCAGUGGGGGAUAACGUAGCGAAAGUUACGCUAAUACCGCAUAUUCUGUGAGCAGGAAAGCAGGGGAUCGCAAGACCUUGCGCUGAUUGAGCGGCCGAUGUCAGAUUAGCUAGUUGGUGAGGUAAAGGCUCACCAAGGCGACGAUCUGUAGCGGGUCUGAGAGGAUGAUCCGCCACACUGGAACUGAGACACGGUCCAGACUCCUACGGGAGGCAGCAGUGAGGAAUAUUGGUCAAUGGGUGAGAGCCUGAACCAGCCAUCCCGCGUGCAGGAUGACGGUCCUAGUGAUUGUAAACUGUCUUUUCUAUGAGAUGAAUAAGAAUUACGUGUAGUUCGAUGUACGUAUUAUAGGAAUAAGCAUCGGACUACUCCG
This 476-nucleotide ribosomal RNA is filed under the name uncultured bacterium. RNAcentral describes it as "bacterial SSU rRNA". It matches the Rfam family "Bacterial small subunit ribosomal RNA", at positions 30 to 505 of the family's 1533-position model. The record is from RNAcentral.